Molecule: ribosomal RNA, 301 nt
Filed under: uncultured bacterium
Lineage: Bacteria
Description: partial 16S ribosomal RNA
Rfam family: Bacterial small subunit ribosomal RNA
Source: RNAcentral
CAGCCGCCGCGGGAAUACGAAGGGUGCAAGCGUUACUCGGAAUUACUGGGCGUAAAGCGUGCGUAGGUGGUUGUUUAAGUCUGCUGUGAAAGCCCUGGGCUCAACCUGGGAAUUGCAGUGGAUACUGGGCAACUAGAGUAAGGUAGAGGAUAGUGGAAUUUCCGGUGUAGCAGUGAAAUGCGUAGAGAUCGGAAGGAACAUCUGUGGCGAAGGCGACUAUCUGGGCCAUUACUGACACUGAGGCACGAAAGCGUGGGGAGCAAACAGGAUUAGAUACCCCAGUAGUCCCUGUCUCUUAUAC